This 641-nucleotide ribosomal RNA is filed under the name Spirosoma sp. Its description in RNAcentral is "bacterial SSU rRNA". It matches the Rfam family "Bacterial small subunit ribosomal RNA", at positions 218 to 859 of the family's 1533-position model. The record is from RNAcentral. Lineage: Bacteria; Pseudomonadati; Bacteroidota; Cytophagia; Cytophagales; Cytophagaceae.
GUUUGAGAGGGGCUUGCGUCUGAUUAGCUAGUUGGCGGGGUAACGGCUCACCAAGGCGAUGAUCAGUAGGGGUUCUGAGAGGAUUGGCCCCCACAUGGGUACUGAGAUACGGACCCAACUCCUACGGGAGGCAGCAGUAGGGAAUAUUGGGCAAUGGAGGCAACUCUGACCCAGCCAUGCCGCGUGCAGGAUGAAGGCGCUCAGCGUUGUAAACUGCUUUUAUCUAGGAAGAACGGCUGAUUUGCGAAUCAGUGUGACGGUACUAGAGGAAUAAGCACCGGCUAACUCCGUGCCAGCAGCCGCGGUAAUACGGAGGGUGCAAGCGUUGUCCGGAUUUAUUGGGUUUAAAGGGUGCGUAGGUGGUCCUGUAAGUCUGGUUUGAAAGCUGGUGGCUUAACCAUCAGAUGUGGCUGGAAACUGUGGGACUUGAAUGGGUUGGCGGUAGCUGGAACGGGUCAUGUAGCGGUGAAAUGCAUAGAUAUGACCCAGAACCCCGAUUGCGAAGGCAGGCUACUACGACUUGAUUGACACUGAGGCACGAGAGCAUGGGGAGCCAACAGGAUUAGAUACCCUGGUAGUCCAUGCCGUAAACGAUGAUUACUGGCUGUUUGUGAGAUAUCAUGAGUGGCUGAGCGAAAGCG